Molecule: non-coding RNA, 1600 nt
Organism: Physcomitrium patens
Lineage: Eukaryota; Viridiplantae; Streptophyta; Bryopsida; Funariales; Funariaceae
Source: RefSeq, a predicted model, not a curated record
AAUUUUGAUUUUCUACCCUGGUGUAAAUUCAUGGGACAAUUUUUUUAACUUUUCACCAAUCACACUGCCGCCCCAUUUCUCCAAAUUUUGCAAUGAUAUCUUGUCGCACAACCUGCCUCACAUUAGUCCAUAGAUUGAGGGGUUUACACGAAGUGUGAGGCCAUGGCAUCAAAACUGACUCAAGACUUGAGGUGCGAUCUUAUCAGAGAGGUUGCUGUUCGAAGAAUCCGUUUUGCACAUGACUUUAGUUUGCUUUCUUGUAGUUGUAUGCAGAUCCGGUAGAGUUCUCUGUAGUAUAGUCGCACAUUGUUACAUUAUGAUGUUAAUUAGAGGCUCUGAGAAUUCAAAGCGCUUGCGUUGCAUUACUUUCUGCAGGUUUUGAAUCUCCGGACGACUUUAACCUUUUUGUCUGACAUUGGUUUAUUCGAGGGCAUGUUGGCGAAUGCGGGCACAUUGUAGUUUGUGAUUAGGGUAACAUUGAGUGACAGUUGAGAAGAUGAAGCUGCAAUUUGGAAUCAUGAGAAACUGCUGCUAAUCAGUGUGUUUGCCAUUUGUUUGUUGAAUUCUUUUUGGAGAUGCUAAUCACCCCAGACCUGUGGUUCUAUGCAACCUCACGGUCACCGAAUCGUUUUGAGCUCAGUUGGAAAUCAUCUUCCUUGCCCGAAAUAAACUUUGUUAAAAUAUCAAUCAGCUGGGUGAAAAAUCACGAAGGAAAUUGGCUUUCAAGCGAAGGUGGUGAUGAAGUACCACCGUCUGAGUCGGUUUCUGAAAGCAUAAAAUGGAGACGACGAACCGGAGAUUGCUGUUGCGCUUCUGUUCCUCGGACUCUGGCUUGUGUCGCUUGCUCUCUGCAGCAUUGGAUUCAGUGAACGAAUUGCACUGCUUGUACUCACUGUAAUCUCAGUGCCAAAACACCCUCUUAAGGUCUUAAUCUGGUGAGUGAAGGAGACAUGGGAACGAAGUAGCUAGUCCGCUGAAAAGAGAGUCUUGAAGGACCAGGACAAAGUGCACUUGAGAAGGACCAAAUCGCCGCAGCAGAUGGAUCCUUCAUCUGAGAAUGGGCGGGCUAUCACUCUACGUUCUAAGGUAUCGGUGCUUUGAACCAAUUGUGGAGUCUCCCAUGGCGAAUGCAAGCGAAUGGGAAGGUGUCGAACAAGAUUGUGAGAAAGCUUUGGAGCUGGAUAAUACCUCACUGUCAAGGUAAGAUUAGACGACAUUCCUCACCAUUGUUGAUGGCCAGCGCAAUUCGGUGGAGCCUCGUAGAAAUAUUCCUUCACCUUAGCAUAGUGAAGGAGAUGAAAUUUGAGAAAGGAUUAAAGAAGUGAAAGAGGAUGGUAGAUUGUUUUACACAGGCAACUCUACAAGCUCAAGAUCUACGGACUACCAAAAGAUCUUUAUUCUUGUGAAGAUGGUAUAUAGAUACAAAUAAGAGCAUUCAAUAGAAUAAGAAAUCAGAUAAGAGCGUGGAGCUUCUUUUCAAACUCAGCAGUGACCAUCAAAAUUUGUUGGUUGAACUAUUUUAGACUUUGUUCCUACAAGAUUAGAAAUAAAGACCUAAAUCUAAUCACCAAAUUAGAUUUAGGUAACUAUGGUUGUAAAA